GUGAUUCGUCACACUAUCAUUAACUGAAUCCAUAGGUUAAUGAGGCGAACCGGGGGAACUGAAACAUCUAAGUACCCCGAGGAAAAGAAAUCAACCGAGAUUCCCCCAGUAGCGGCGAGCGAACGGGGAGGAGCCCAGAGCCUGAAUCAGCAUGUGUGUUAGUGGAAGCGUCUGGAAAGGCGCGCGAUACAGGGUGACAGCCCCGUACACAAAAGCGCAUGUGCUGUGAGCUCGAUGAGUAGGGCGGGACACGUGGUAUCCUGUCUGAAUAUGGGGGGACCAUCCUCCAAGGCUAAAUACUCCUGACUGACCGAUAGUGAACCAGUACCGUGAGGGAAAGGCGAAAAGAACCCCGGCGAGGGGAGUGAAAAAGAACCUGAAACCGUG
This 387-nucleotide ribosomal RNA is filed under the name Salmonella enterica. RNAcentral describes it as "partial 23S ribosomal RNA". It matches the Rfam family "Bacterial large subunit ribosomal RNA", at positions 133 to 560 of the family's 2925-position model. The record is from RNAcentral. Lineage: Bacteria; Pseudomonadati; Pseudomonadota; Gammaproteobacteria; Enterobacterales; Enterobacteriaceae.